Molecule: ribosomal RNA, 252 nt
Filed under: uncultured bacterium
Lineage: Bacteria
Description: partial 16S ribosomal RNA
Rfam family: Bacterial small subunit ribosomal RNA
Source: RNAcentral
UACGUAGGUCCCGAGCGUUGUCCGGAUUUAUUGGGCGUAAAGCGAGCGCAGGUGGUUUAUUAAGUCUGGUGUAAAAGGCAGUGGCUCAACCAUUGUAUGCAUUUGAAACUGGUAGACUUGAGUGCAGGAGAGGAGAGUGGAAUUCCAUGUGUAGCGGUGAAAUGCGUAGAUAUAUGGAGGAACACCGGUGGCGAAAGCGGCUCUCUGGCCUGUAACUGACACUGAGGCUCGGAAGCGUGGGAAGCAAACAGG